Molecule: ribosomal RNA, 449 nt
Filed under: uncultured bacterium
Lineage: Bacteria
Description: bacterial SSU rRNA
Rfam family: Bacterial small subunit ribosomal RNA
Source: RNAcentral
AUCCAGACUCCUACGGGAGGCAGCAGUGGGGAAUAUUGCACAAUGGGGGAAACCCUGAUGCAGCGACGCCGCGUGAAGGAAGAAGUGUUUCGGUAUGUAAACUUCUAUCAGCAGGGAAGAAAGUGACGGUACCUGACUAAGAAGCCCCGGCUAACUACGUGCCAGCAGCCGCGGUAAUACGUAGGGGGCAAGCGUUAUCCGGAUUUACUGGGUGUAAAGGGAGCGUAGGCGGCGAUGCAAGUCAGAAGUGAAAGCCCGGGGCUCAACCCCGGGACUGCAUUUGGAACUGUGUGGCUGGAGUGUCGGAGAGGCAGGCGGAAUUCCUAGUGUAGCGGUGAAAUGCGUAGAUAUUAGGAGGAACACCAGUGGCGAAGGCGGCCUGCUGGACGAUGACUGACGUUGAGGCUCGAAAGCGUGGGGAGCAAACAGGAUUAGAUACCCGUGUAUCA